Molecule: non-coding RNA, 27 nt
Filed under: Cricetulus griseus (Chinese hamster)
Lineage: Eukaryota; Metazoa; Chordata; Mammalia; Rodentia; Cricetidae
Source: RNAcentral
UCCAAGAAAGAUUAAAGGCCCUGAAGA